RNAcentral lists this ribosomal RNA (194 nucleotides) under uncultured bacterium. RNAcentral's name for it is "partial 16S ribosomal RNA". It matches the Rfam family "Bacterial small subunit ribosomal RNA", at positions 338 to 524 of the family's 1533-position model. The record is from RNAcentral.
CCUACGGGAGGCAGCAGUGGGGAAUAUUGGACAAUGGGCGAAAGCCUGAUCCAGCCAUACCGCGUGUGUGAAGAAGGCCCUAGGGUUGUAAAGCACUUUAAGUUGGGAAGAAAAGUUAUUGGUUAAUACCCAAUGACCGUGACAUUACCAUCAGAAUAAGGACCGGCUAAUUCCGUGCCAGCAGCCGCGGUAAU